CCUACGGGAGGCAGCAGUAGGGAAUCUUCCACAAUGGACGCAAGUCUGAUGGAGCAACGCCGCGUGAGUGAAGAAGGUUUUCGGAUCGUAAAGCUCUGUUGUUGGUGAAGAAGGAUAGAGGUAGUAACUGGCCUUUAUUUGACGGUAAUCAACCAGAAAAUCACGGCUAACUACGUGCCAGCAGCCGCGGUAAU
Molecule: ribosomal RNA, 194 nt
Filed under: uncultured bacterium
Lineage: Bacteria
Description: partial 16S ribosomal RNA
Rfam family: Bacterial small subunit ribosomal RNA
Source: RNAcentral